Myodes glareolus (Bank vole) is the source of this 4957-nucleotide non-coding RNA. The record is from RefSeq and is a predicted model, not a curated record. Lineage: Eukaryota; Metazoa; Chordata; Mammalia; Rodentia; Cricetidae.
UCAUAUUGAAGGACCACAACUCAUUUUAGCCACAGUUAUGUCAUUUUGCAAAGAAGCUCAGUUCAGAGAAGGGCCCCCGGAAUGCUGAGCAAGGCAGGAUACCUGAGGUCAGAACGAGGACAGCCUUAUUAGGCUGCAGUACAGAGGAUUUAUGGUCAGACACCUGGUGAGAUACCCAGGACAGCCUUAUCAGGCUGCAGGACAGGGAAUUUAUGGUCAAGACAUCUGGCCUAGGGGGAAAUAAAGACUUCAAAAGACUGACCAUAUAUGCUUGAGAUAGGGACAGGUCAGUUAUCUGGUUUCUUUGAUCCAGGCCAAGGACCACGAGGCCUGCCCUCAAAUUCACCCCUCGCCUCAUUCAAACUGGCCAAUGGGACCCCUGUAACCGCGCUUUUGCUUCUGUAACAUUGCUUCUGCCUAUAUAAAGAUACCCCAAGAAGUAGCUCGGGGUGCUCAGUUCUCCAUGUGACUGCAGCACCCACAGGCCUGUGAACAUUAAAGUUUGCCUCUUGUUCUUGCAUCCAGUGGCUCUCGGACCUGGUUCUUGGGCACGGGUCUCCACGCAUGUGAGACACCCUCCGGGUGCUCUUUCAUUUGGUGUCAGAAGUGGGAUUGUGGAAGAUCUCUGCCCAACCCAUCCGACAACCCACUGGGAGGUAAGCUGGCUAGCCACUAUUUGUCCUUGUCUGUUUGCUGUCUUGAUGUAUUAAUUUGAUGUAAUGCGCAAGCGUUUGUAUUCCGUAGACCUGGAUCCACGGUCAUCUGUAUUCUGGGCGGCUUUGAGGAGGAGCUGACGGGCUCUGAACUUCUCACCAGCUACCCUGGGGGACGCCCCAGGGAUCUGGAGAGCCCGAGGGGCUCAGCACGAAUCCUAGAAAUUCGUGCCUCUGUAGGGUGAAGUUUUCACUUCCCCAUCUGAAUUUGUACUUUCGGUUUGCUGCAGCCAUCUGAAUUUGUACUUUCGGUUUGUCACCGAAGUUGCGCUUUGCGUUGCCGGCUGUCUGUUCUGUCUUUGUCAUGUCUUUGUUUUUGUAUUUUGUUUCGUUUCUGUUUGUACUCGAGUCUAAACCUGGUACCAUGGGACAGUAAACAGUAUGCUACAGGUGUAAUAGAAGGUCCCAAUUGAUGUCCUAAGACCCCAAGGGCAUAUCCCUCCUUCUCUGCUACAUAAAGAGAAAAAGGGCAAGUGAAAUCUGGAAGAAGAAGACCUGAAGCCUGGAUAAGUGCCUGUUGGAGUCUCUGGAAGGGUUUGGUAACAGGAUGGAGAAGGGGCUCAUGCAGAGAGCCGAGAGCUGCUUCAUAUAGGAGCUGGAUGGAGACCUGCUGACAGAAGAGGGAGAAGGGUGUUUAGGCCAGAAGAGGGCACCAGACCUCAUUACAGAUGGUUGUGAGCCACCAUGUGGUUGCCGGGAAUUGAACUCAGGACCUUUGGAAGAGCAGGCAAUGGUCUCAGCCACUGAGCCAUCUCUCCAGCCCCAAUAAUGUUCUUUCCUGCAGAAUCGAAAGAUAACAGCGAGGGUCCCAUGUAGUCCAGACUGACCUCAUACUCACUACAGAGCCAAAGUUGUUCAUGAACUUCUGAUCUUCCCACUUACCCUUCCGUGUGCUGGGAUUACAGGUGCAGAUGAGGAGACUAAAGCUAAACAAGUCAAAUAGCUUGGCUACGUUCACCUAAGCAGUCACAGAACAGCUCUGGCAUGAUCCAGUCUGACUCCAGAAUCUUUGUAUUCUUCUAAGAAUUAAACCAAUGAGCUAUAGCUGUCAACAGAAAGAGGAUAUUUUGUUCUCUUAAUUACUGAGCCAUCUCUCCAGGCCCCAAAUUUGGAGGAUAUGGUAGCACCUGGGAGGCCACAGUAAGAGGAUUUGCAAAUUGAAGACCAGCUUGGGCUACCUUGUUGCAAACAAAACAAAUGGCACUUAAUUAUCACCAAUGAUCAUUUUGAAUUUUGCUGUGCUUUGAAAGAAUGUACUACAACUGCUGUUCGGUCCUUUCCUUUUGGUCUGAAGAACAUAAGUUUGUUCUCAGCUAUCUCAACAUCACCAUGCCCUCCUGCUUGCUGCCAUACUGCCAUGAUGAUAAUGAGUUACACCUCUGAAACUGACAUCAGAAGUUCCAUGUGACCAGGGAAAUGUCAGACGUUUGUUGUGGCUCCUGGCAGGAGUGUACACCCUCACCUGGAAUAAAAUCUCCUAGGCCAGCAUAACUUAAGGUCAUGAAAACAGGAAGCAAAAUUUUUCUUGGUGGGUCACUAGGGAUGAUAGUGACUGAAACUAUUCCCUUUUCCACUCCUUGAUUCCUAAACCCUUGGAUCCUGGCUAUGGGAGAAACAGCACCACAUAUUGGACACUUAUUCAAAGUACAUACUGGAGAAUCUUGCCCCAACCCUACAGGCUGAUGCCAUCUAAUUGCACUGUAACUGUGUCUUCCAAAGGCCAUUCCAUCUCUCUAUCAACAAACUGCUUCAGGAUGGUGGGGAACAUGGUAAGUCCAGUGGAUUUCAUGAUCAUGGGUUCACUGUCACACUUCUCUGGCUGUGAAGUGAGUUCCUUGGUCAGAAGCAAUACUGUGAGGAAUACCAUGAUGGUAGAUAAGGCAUUCUGUUAGUCCACGGAUGGUGGUUUUGGCAGAAGCAUUAAAUAGAGGAAAUGCAAAUCCAUAACCAGAAUAAGUAUCUGCUCCAGUAAGGACAAAGAGUUGUCCUUUUCACAGAGGAAGUUGGUCCAGUGCAAUCAACCUGGUCACUCCAGGGAAUGGUGCCUUAUCUGGUGCUCAACAUUGAUCUCUGCUUGGUACUCAGCAACAACUAUAGCCAGGUCAGCCUUGGUGAAUAGAAGUUCAUGUUGACAAGUCUGUGUGUAUCCCUCAUCUCUGCCUCAAUGGCCACUUUGUUCUUGGGUUCACUGGGCAAUGACAGGAAUGGCUGGGGAAAGAGGCUGACUGUCCUAAGAAUGGGUCAUUCUAUCUACUUGAUUAUUGAAUUUCUCUUCAGCUGAAGUCACCCUUUGAUGAAAACUUACAUGGGGCACAAAUAUUUCCACAUCCUCCACCUAUUUGGAGAGAUUUAUCCAUAUAUUUCUUCCUUAAAUGUCUUUCUCACUGAUUUUUCCAAUCAUGUUCUUUUCAAGUGCCUGACCAUCCAGCCAAUCCAUUAGAUAGAGACCAUGAAUGAGUGAACAAUCACACAUCUGGCCAUUUCUCCUUCCAAACAAAAUGUAUGACCAUGUGUAAUACACAAAUUUCUGCCCACUAUGAAGAUUUCUCUUCACCUAUAUCUUUCAGAGUUGUUCCAGAAAGUAGCUAUAACACUACAGCUAUCCACUUUUGAGUGGUACCUGCAUUAACAUGUUGAAUCACAAGUAAACAGGCCCUAGUCUUCUCUUGCUCAGUCAACCAAUCUUAUGGAGGCAGAUGUCAUUGUAAUGGGAGUAGAAACCAUAGGCAUUUGGGCAACUUCUUCAUGUAACUUGAUUGUGCCUCUGGGAUUUGCUUGGACCUGGUAAUUUAUUCAUGUAUAUGUAUAUAUGAAUAUAUAUAAUUUUCAUUUGAUAAUAGAUUCUUGCUGUGCAUAUCCUGCUUUAUGACUUUGUGUGUCAGAUGACACACAGCUUACAAUGGGCAGCUCAGGUCACAUGGUAACUUGGUGCACCAGUGUCAAAAAUUCAGUUUCUACUCAGGUGUAUUAACAGAGCUGUCUCUCAAAAGGAGACUAGUUGUCUGUAGGCAAUAGUAGAACCUUUCUCCCAAAUCACAAAAGUCUCUUUUGUGGAAUAAUCUUUUUGAACACUGUGAAGAUGUGUUUUUGCCGAGGCAUUUUCUUAUUGGUUUAAUAAAAAGCUAAACAGCCAUUAGCUAGGCAGGAGGUAUAGGUGGGGCAGCCAGACACAGAGAAUGCUAGUAAGAAGACAGAUAGGGUUGUCAGGAGAUGCAGAGGGAGCAAGGUGUACUGGAGGACAGGUAAAGCAACAAGCUAUGUAGCAAUAUGUAGAUUGAUAAAAAUGGAUUAAGUAGUAAGGGUUAAUUAGUAACAAGUCUAAGAUAUUGGCCAUUCUUUUAAAAUUAAGACGAUGUCUCUGUAUUAUUACUGGGGAGCUGGCAGUCCAGAUGAAAAGAACCCAAUGAAAAGGUCCUGGUGAUCCUGAUGAAAAAGUCCAACUACAGUCUCUGCUAUUAUCCAUUCACCUAUAGGAGCAUGCCAAAAGCUCCAAAUAGCCUGCCUGUCUGCCACUGACACAUCAACUACCAUCACUACCAUCAGGUCUGCUGGAUCAUAUGGUCUAAGUAGUAGAGCAAUCUACACAGCAGCUUGGACCUGUUGAAGAUUCUUUUCUUGUUUUUGGUUCUACACAAAGCUUGCAGCUUUCUGAGUUGCUUGGUAUAUAGGCCUAAGUAACACACCCAAGUGAGGCAUGUACCAUCUCUAGAAUCCCAAAAGGCCCACUAAAUAUUGUGCUUCUUUCAUGGUGAUGAGAGGAGCCUGGUGCAAUAACUUAUCCUUCACUUUGGAAGAAAUAUCUCCACGUGCCCCAUACCACUGGACUCCAAAGAAUUUCACUGAGGCAGAAGGUCCUUGAAUUUUGUUUGGAUUUAUUCCCCAUAUUCUGAUGUGCAUGUGUAUAAUCAGCGAGUUCAGAGUGGUUGCUAUCUGCUCACUUGAUCCAAUCAACAUAUUAUUUUUCAAUAUAGUGCACCCAUGUAAUAUUGGAAAAGACAGAUGGUCGAGAUUCCUUGUUAAGCUAUGACACAGGGCUUUAGGAUUAAUAUAUCCUUAAGACAAAAUUGUAAAGGUAUACUUCUGGUUUUUCCAAUGGAAAGCAAAUUGUUUCUGUUGCAUAUCAUGUACCAGGACAUGUGUUAAUCUGCUCAAUUAAGAACACUAUGCCUGGCUGAGCAGUGGUGGCACAUACCUUUAAUUCCAGUACUCGGGAGGCAGAGACAGGCAGAUCUCUGUGAGUUCGA